UACGUAGGUGGCAAGCGUUGUCCGGAAUUAUUGGGCGUAAAGCGCGCGCAGGCGGCUUCUUAAGUCUGAUGUGAAAUCUCGGGGCUCAACCCGAGCGGCCAUUGGAAACUGGGAAGCUUGAGUACAGAAGAGGAGAGUGGAAUUCCACGUGUAGCGGUGAAAUGCGUAGAUAUGUGGAGGAACACCAGUGGCGAAGGCGACUCUCUGGUCUGUAACUGACGCUGAGGCGCGAAAGCGUGGGGAGCAAACAGG
RNAcentral lists this ribosomal RNA (252 nucleotides) under uncultured bacterium. RNAcentral describes it as "partial 16S ribosomal RNA". It matches the Rfam family "Bacterial small subunit ribosomal RNA", at positions 524 to 776 of the family's 1533-position model. The record is from RNAcentral.